UGGGAAGAAGGGGUCUGGCUAGGAUAUUUAAAGGGUGAGUCUGCGUUUUCUCACCUCUAUUUUCUCUGCUGUGUCAGGAACUCCUAGUAGGGUUACCCUCUAGAACUGGUCCCUGUCUCUGUCUUCCCCCCUUAUUUCCCAUCCUUUUGUCUUUUUGCUCUACCUUCUGGGAAAUUCCUCAAUUUUAUUUUUGUCCCUUCAUUUUUACCAUCUCCUGUUUUAAAUUUCCAAGAGCUCACUUUUAGUGUUCCCUUUUUGUUUGGAGUAGCCUGUGUAUACUUGCUGACUCAUUUAUUUGAUGACUCCUUUCUCUCUAAAGGAUAUUAAAUUUGGUUUUAAUUUUCACUCUAUGUAUUCUUUCCUUCCUUUUUUUAAAAUUUUCUCUUUGUUCUGGUCUCAGCCUUUCAGACUGGAAGCUCUGAGCCUGUGGUGGGAGCGGACUCCGAUCCCUGCUGAGCCGUCCUUGGAAAUCCUGGACUGUUUGGGGCCCCUGAGAAACCUUCUUUCCUCUUGCGAGCAGCUCCCAGCCACAGGAAACAAUUCCAACUCAAGACCCAAGGAGACCAGGGGAGGGAGCUGAGGGGAAGCCUGAGACUGCCCUCCGAUGAGGACUGUGGCUGCACGUGGAGGUGGGAGAGCUCAGCAACCACUGUCAUCUUGGCAGAGAGGGAAGCAAAGGAGCUUCUGGGUAGCUCAGUGAAGCAUCUGACUUCACCUCGGGUCACGAUCUCAUGGUCCAUGAGUUGGAGCCCAGCAUCAGGCUCUGUGCUGACAGCUCAGCCUGGAGCUUCAGGUUCUGUGUCUCCCUCUCUCUCUGCCCCACCUCUUUCUCUCAAAAAUAAAUAAACAAUAAAAAAUAUUUAAGGGGCGCCUGUGUGGCUCAGUCGGUUAAACGUCCAAUUUUGGCUCAGGUCACGAUCUCAUGGUUCGUGGGUCCGAGCCCCAUAUUGUCUGUGCUGACAGCUCAGAGCCUGGAGCGUGCUUUGAAUUCUGUGCCUCCCUCUCUCUACCCCUCCCUCUGCUCAUGCGCGCUCUCUCAAAAAUAAAUAAACAUUUUUUUAAUUAAAAAAAAACAAAAUGGGGAGCAAAAGUUGAGAAAAAGAAAUGAAUAGCCUGACUUCUCUCCUGCCCUCUGAUCUUUUGCUGGUGCCUCCCAUCGACAGAACCUACCAGGAGUUUCCCUGAUUGAAAUGGAGCAUGAGAAGGGUAGAAAGUGGAUUUAAAGGAACAAGUGGUGAAGACCUAGAAUGGACAGGUCUCUGAAGGCAGAGGCACAACUACUAUGUUUCAGAAGAAAAUUCUGCAAGACUACAUACUUUGAGAACCAGAGGGAAUCGUCUGAAAAACUAGUAAUAGUAAUAUAGUCCAGGAAAAUGGUCUGAUGUUAAUACAUGAAAACUGAUAGAUUCAGGACUACUAAUUAUAGACAGAAAAUAUCCCAUUCUUGGUAACAGCCUGGAAAUAGACCAUAGUCUGUGAGGAGCAGGACCAGGGUGAAGAAACUGACAUAAAGAAAACUCCAACAAAAGGAAAGACAAGUCAUAUUCCUUAACAUAAUUUUAUUAUAAACAUAACUCAUACAUACUACUUAAACUUGUUUUUGUAUGCCCAUAGUGCUUCACAUUUAGAAUGUGGUCAGUACAUACUUGUUGAAUGACAAGAUGAGUGAGUAAAUAAACUUCACGGAGCUAUUUAUGUAGAGGUCUUCAAGGAGACGUCUGUCCUUGAUACGUCCGUCCACCAGGAGUCAGGCUUCAGCCGUGAUCGAUGAGGCAAGGCUUAAGUAUCUCCUCCCAGCUCCCAGCUGGCACAGUGCCACUCUGGGCCAAGACAGGCUUCGCUAUUUGAGAUUAACCUCGCACAUGAAUAAAUAGUUUUUAAAAAAACUUACUUGAUUACAAAAGCCUGUGAUCAUGCCAAAAGACUUACAGGAGAGGGUACAGCAAAGCAAACAAACAUGCACAGAGAGAG
Molecule: long non-coding RNA, 1971 nt
Filed under: Suricata suricatta (meerkat)
Lineage: Eukaryota; Metazoa; Chordata; Mammalia; Carnivora; Herpestidae
Description: lncRNA (ENSSSUG00005001020.1)
Source: RNAcentral